Molecule: unclassified non-coding RNA, 1920 nt
Filed under: Ixodes scapularis (black-legged tick)
Lineage: Eukaryota; Metazoa; Arthropoda; Arachnida; Ixodida; Ixodidae
Description: uncharacterized LOC115323483, transcript variant X4
Source: RNAcentral
AUCCCCAGGUGGUCAAAAUUAAUCCUGUCCUCCGGUGGGACGUGCCAGAUGCCCGUCGUAGGUUUGGCACGUAAAAACUUCAAAUUUCAUUGAUUUCUCUAACAAGCAAUCCCCUUGUAACAAUUACCGUGCAGGCAUUUCUAAAAUUUGCUGUUGAUUUUUCACUAAGAAAAGUGUUGAUUAGGCAAGCAAAUACGGUAACGGCCUUCAUACACUCAGAACCGCGGCUUUUAAGAUUCAUAUUCCUAUGGCCUAUGCGAAAAGUCACAGUUCCUUCGUAGGUUUGCUUGCUUUCGAAAACAUGUUAAUUUAAGUCAGGGAUAACUAUGUGAAUAGCGUAAUUGUAUGAGCGUAGAGCGUUACUUAAGCCCACACCACCUCAUGAAGGACGUAAUAUGCAUGGCCUUGUUCACAAUCUAUCAAAGAAGCGGAGUCUUCUACCAGGACAUCACACCAUAUGGCUCGGAGCUGCCUUGCUGACGGUUCCCUUCCCCGCCUGUAUGUACCAGAUUGCCUGGCUCAUGUAGGUUCAGCCUCGCAGGCUCGUACCUGUCCUCCCAGCAAAGACGCUGGAGGCCGGGACUGCGAUGAUUGCAGUUCAGAAGAGCUGUGUCAGGACUCCUUUGCUCUAGAGGCAUCAGGGGAACUCCCUGAAGUCUCUGGGGGUUACCACAUGAGUCUGUGGCAGCAGCGCCACCACCUGGUCCUGUGACAGUCGUGCCGUCACCCUGUCCUGUGGCAGUCGUGCCUCCACCUCGCUUCGUGGCAGUCAUGUCACUACCUCGUCCUGUGACCGCAUUGCCCCCACCUCGCCCUGUGACAGCAUUGCCAUCACCUCGCCCAGUGGCAGCUUUGCUACCACCUCCUACCAUGUCAGUUGUGCCGCCACCUCGUCUAGUGGCAGCCUUGUCACCUCCUCGACUCGUGGCAGUCGUGACACCACCUUGUCCUGUGGCUGCAUUGCCACAAACCCGUCCCGUGGCAGCAUUGCCAUCACCUCCUCGUCCCGUGGCUGUAAGGCCACCUCCUCUUGCGGUAGGAGCAGUUGGAGAUAAUGAUCAGGUUGACCUGGGCGGCGGCCUGUUCAUGAUGGCAGCGCAGUUUAACCACUGCGUUAAGAAGUCUGCUGCCGACUCGAAAAUGGUGCGGAAUACCGCCCUGGCGUUCUGGACACACGAAGAGCUGUUGGUGCGGAGUGUUAUGGGGAAUCCCUCCCGCCGAUUUCUCAAGGAGUGUCCUGAGGGCACAAAGUAGCCUAUGACGCCCAAGAAAUUAAAAAUAUUUCGGGCUGCCCUGCGUGCCUACAUUGGGAACAAGUCCGAGGAAGAAGUUGGCGCUAGGCUGGCCAAGACGAACGCAUACUUGGCCAACUACGUACAAGACACCUCCAGUAGGUGGAAAAAAGCGCAGCGGAAGAAGAGCCAAGAGGCAGCAGCUGAGGCAGAGGAGAUGGCGCUUCUGUCAAUACUGUCUCCCUUACAGCGCCCUACCUCCCCUUCUGGUACUAUAGAAUAAAGGUAGUUUGACUUUCUGAGGGAUUCAUUUUUCUGGCCAGCAUAUCGACGUGCACGUCUGGACUGACGUCUUAAAUGUGCUUUCAGUAAUUAGAUACAUCAUUCCUUAUGCCAAACAUGCUUUUCUAACAUGAAUUUCAGAACACGAACACAAAAGUUCAAUAACUAUCUAACGGAGACUCCAUGGAUCAAAUGAGAAUCUCGUGCAACGAGAAAUCGUAUGGUUUUAUGUGUCAAAUUAGAAUCUCGUAUGAAACGAGAAAUCAUAUGAAACGAUAAUCUCGUAUCACUUCUCGUAUAAAAUAAGAAAUCCUAUUAGUACUCGUAUAAAUGAGAAACUCGUAUCCUUCUCGUGUCCAAUAAACACAUAUGAAUUUCUCUUAAGCCUUUCUCGUAAACUUUAUAU